This 825-nucleotide ribosomal RNA is filed under the name uncultured Planctomycetota bacterium. Its description in RNAcentral is "bacterial SSU rRNA". It matches the Rfam family "Bacterial small subunit ribosomal RNA", at positions 69 to 902 of the family's 1533-position model. The record is from RNAcentral. Lineage: Bacteria; Pseudomonadati; Planctomycetota.
UACCUGGGGGCUUGCUCCCAGGUGAAAGUGGCGAAAGGGGCAGUAAGGCGUGGGUAACGUACCCUCCGGACGGGAAUAGCCUUGGGAAACUAAGGGUAAUGCCUGGCGACAUAGCGAGGAGGCAUCUUCUUGCUAUCAAAUGAAUUUCGCCGGGGGAGCGGCUCACGUAGUAUUAGCUAGUUGGUAGGGUGAUAGCCUACCAAGGCAAAGAUGCUUAGCGGGUGUGAGAGCACGACCCGCGCCACUGGCACUGAGACACUGGCCAGACACCUACGGGUGGCUGCAGUCGAGGAUCUUCGGCAAUGGGCGCAAGCCUGACCGAGCGACGCCGCGUGUGCGAUGAAGGCCUUCGGGUUGUAAAGCACUGUCGAGGGGGAGGAAAGCCGUAAGGUCUGACCUAUCCCUGGAGGAAGGACGGGCUAAGUUCGUGCCAGCAGCCGCGGUAAGACGAACCGUCCUAACGUUAUUCGGAAUCACUGGGCUUAAAGGGCGCGUAGGCGGAUGGGCAAGUCCGGAGUGAAAUCUUUCGGCUUAACCGGAAAAGUGCUUUGGAUACUGCUCGUCUUGAGGGAGGUAGGGGCAUGUGGAACUUCUGGUGGAGCGGUGAAAUGCGUUGAUAUCAGAAGGAACGCCGGUGGCGAAAGCGACGUGCUGGCCCUCUUCUGACGCUGAGGCGCGAAAGCUAGGGGAGCAAACGGGAUUAGAUACCCCGGUAGUCCUAGCCCUAAACGAUGGGUACUAGGUUGUGGACUUAACAUGGGUUCACAGCCGAAGCAAAAGUGCUAAGUACCCCGCCUGGGGAGUAUGGUCGCAAGGCUGAAACUC